Molecule: ribosomal RNA, 468 nt
Filed under: uncultured bacterium
Lineage: Bacteria
Description: partial 16S ribosomal RNA
Rfam family: Bacterial small subunit ribosomal RNA
Source: RNAcentral
GACGAACGCUGGCGGCGUGCUUAACACAUGCAAGUCGAACGGAAAGGCCCUGCUUUUGUGGGGUGCUCGAGUGGCGAACGGGUGAGUAACACGUGAGUAACCUGCCCUUGACUUUGGGAUAACUUCAGGAAACUGGGGCUAAUACCGGAUAGGAGCUCCUGCUGCAUGGUGGGGGUUGGAAAGUUUCGGCGGUGGGGGAUGGACUCGCGGCUUAUCAGCUUGUUGGUGGGGUAGUGGCUUACCAAGGCUUUGACGGGUAGCCGGCCUGGGAGGGUGACCGGCCACAUUGGGCCUGCGAGACGGCCCAGACUCCUACGGUCGGCAGCAGUGGGGAAUAUUGCACAAUGGGCGGAAGCCUGAUGCAGCAACGCCGCGUGCGGGAUGACGGCCUUCGGGUUGUAAACCACUUUCGACUGUGACGAAGCGUGAGUGACGGUAAUGGGUAAAGAAGCACCGGCUAACUACGUG